UCCCGCUGUCUGCAAGACCAGGACGGUCAUUUACGAGAUCCUCGGAGUCAGGUCGACCCCACAUCCGCCAACUUCCUGAUCUGGCCCCCGUGCGUGGGAGGUGAAACGCUGCACCGGCUGCUGCAACACGAGCAGUGUCAAGUGCCAGCCCUCCCGUGUCCACCACCGCAGCGUCAAGGUGGCCAAGGUGGAAUACGUCAGGAAGAAGCCAAAAUUAAAAGAAGUCCAGGUGAGGUUAGAGGAGCAUUUGGAGUGCACCUGCGCGACCACCAGCCUGAAUCCGGAUUAUCGGGAAGAGGACACGGGAAGGCCUAGGGAGUCAGGUAAAAAACGGAAAAGAAAAAGGUUAAAACCCACCUAAAGCAGCCAACCAGGUAGGACCUGUCUGCCGG
This 392-nucleotide long non-coding RNA is filed under the name Pan troglodytes (chimpanzee). RNAcentral describes it as "long non-coding RNA NONPTRT016510". Lineage: Eukaryota; Metazoa; Chordata; Mammalia; Primates; Hominidae. The record is from RNAcentral.